This 469-nucleotide ribosomal RNA is filed under the name uncultured bacterium. RNAcentral's name for it is "partial 16S ribosomal RNA". It matches the Rfam family "Bacterial small subunit ribosomal RNA", at positions 28 to 507 of the family's 1533-position model. The record is from RNAcentral.
GACGAACGCUGGCGGCGUGCUUAACACAUGCAAGUCGAACGGUGAAGCGAGUGCUUGCCCGCGUGGAUCAGUGGCGAACGGGUGAGUAACACGUGAGUAACCUGCCCAUCACUCUGGGAUAAGCACUGGAAACGGUGUCUAAUACUGGAUACGACCAACCCUUGCAUGGGGGGUUGGUGGAAAGAUUUAUCGGUGGUGGAUGGACUCGCGGCCUAUCAGCUUGUUGGCGGGGUAAUGGCCCACCAAGGCGACGACGGGUAGCCGGCCUGAGAGGGUGACCGGCCACACUGGGACUGAGACACGGCCCAGACUCCUACGGGAGGCAGCAGUGGGGAAUAUUGCACAAUGGGCGGAAGCCUGAUGCAGCGACGCCGCGUGCGGGAUGACGGCCUUCGGGUUGUAAACCUCUUUCAGCAGGGAAGAAGCGAGAGUGACGGUACCUGCAGAAGAAGCACCGGCUAACUACGCG